This 644-nucleotide long non-coding RNA is filed under the name Daucus carota (carrot). RNAcentral describes it as "long non-coding RNA (DCAR_LNC001996)". Lineage: Eukaryota; Viridiplantae; Streptophyta; Magnoliopsida; Apiales; Apiaceae. The record is from RNAcentral.
CCAAAACAACACUGAAUGAUCUACACAACGCCAGGAGCUCGUAUCUGGUCUCGGAAUUCAAACUAAUCAUCAAUUAAGCCGGAAAAUUAAACUAAAACUAAGAACGCCGCCGGAGUUUCAAACUCCGGCGAGGCCUCAUCUCGACUCCAACAGCUGAUUCGAUUAUAUGAACACACUCAGCAUUCAACGAUCUACACAUCUGUGUUUUCCAAUCUUACCCAGCCUUCCUAGAACUCAAACUCCGGCGAAAAUUCAAAGAAAGCUCAAGAACACCCCAAGAACACAGUUCAGUAAUCAAACCAACUUUUCUAGAUGUUAUGGAACUCAAAAAUCAACAUAUAAUAUACCAAAACGACGAGAAAAACACGUACUACAACAUGGAAUCAUCAAAACAAUCAAACAACCAAGUUUGCGAAAAUUCAUCAUUUAAAUCAGAUAAAUUCGAAUUUUAGAAAAAUAAUCUAAAAUCACCUGUUGAAUCUGCAUAUAAACGGAUGAUUGUACUAGAUUCUACGCGUCGAGAGCUUCGUUUUGACUAUUUAUACGCCUCCAUCGGAUUCCAAUAACGCCUUCAAAUCCUUGUUUGAUUAUGAAGAACACGAAGAACACCCGUUCGUUUUCUCUCGGUAUUCGUGCGGAGAAAC